Molecule: long non-coding RNA, 8458 nt
Organism: Gallus gallus (chicken)
Lineage: Eukaryota; Metazoa; Chordata; Aves; Galliformes; Phasianidae
Source: Ensembl
GGCAUCUAUUUCUUUGUAUCUGCAUAUCUCUUCUUAUAGAGAUUCAGACAAAAUCUGCCAUAUGAUGAAGUUUCUUUCCAAUUUUUUUACAUGCUGUUCCUCAUGCAGUUUGAAUGUAUGUCUUUAUUAAUUAACAAGAGCUUAUGAAAGGCAGAAAGAAAAUCCAAGAACAAAGGAGAUGAGUAUGAAACUAAGGUACAGAGGCUUGAGAACUGCUAGAAAGAAAGAAAACAGCCAGGAAAGAAGAAAAGCAAGCUCUCAGUAGUGUUAAAGUGGGGGAGAAAGAAAUAAGGUUUGGGGAGGACACCACUUCCAGCAAGCCAAGUUUUCUUGGCUGAAGAGGAGCUGUUCUUCAUCUUCAGCUAAGCCCAGUUUGUAUUUAACAACCUAAUUUUUCUUGCUUAACAACCACAGCUCUCCAUCUCAGCCCUUGGCCCUGUGUUAAAUGCAGUUUGUUGCGUGCUUUCCAGCAUGUUUGCUGCAGCCUGAGGCUCUGCAUUUUGACCACACUCUGAUGAGCCCUUUUGACCUUCCCAGCAUCAUUGCAGACAAUGGCUGUUCUGCACAAAAGAGAGCUGAGAGAUGUAGAUCUGGAGAUAAAAGUUACGUUUCAAUAUUCACCACAAAUACUGACACAAGAAAUGAGGAGAAAUUGGAAAAAUACAAUUCUAACAUGAAAAGAGGAAUAAAGACAUUGAGACAUAUCUUCAUGUUGACAGUAUUUGAAAGUCAUCUUUUCCUUGGCAUUUUGAAUAACAAGUUCAGUGAGAUAAAGCACAAUGAAGAUCUUUUGAAGAAGCAUCUGGAAUUCAUCUGUGUAAAGAAACACCUGGCAAUGCCCAUGGGGACUCAGAGAUGAGAAGGCAGCUGGACCAGAAGUGACUGCUUUGUUCCUCCAGUGAACAGCAUACAAGCACUGCCUUUUUCUGAUGGACUGUUGGAGGUGGACUUAAUAAAAUUCUUUCACUGUACAUCAGCUUAUCCCAAAAAGAAAUUAGAAGAUACUCUUUACUUUUAGUAUAAGGAGUGAACAGCACCCACACAAAAGAAAGAUGAAAAGGAUUUAAUAAAGUAUGUUUUACAGUACCCUCUACUCAACAGAAUCACAAAAUCAUGGGAUUGCAGUGACUCUGUCAUCACUGGAUUUCAGCAGAAGUGUGGCACAUCCCAGGAUAGAUUCCACCACUGUGGAAGCACAGCCCUCAGGGUUCCCUAGGGUUACUCUUGAACACGUGUAAAUCAGCCUCCAACUCUUCUUGUUAGGUAAGUAUUGCUUAGCAUUGAGCAUUUGUUCAUUUCUUGCUUGCACAAUGGUUUGACUUUCUUAAUUCCAGAUGCCUGUCCUUUAAAAUCUAUAUGAGCCAGCAGCUACACACACAGUAUUCUUUGAUCUUAUGGUAUGAGCUUCCUACACAGCAGGAAGCAGAUAUUUUUUUCAUGUCAAAAUCGAGCCAUAUCUCAGAAGGAAACAAAAAUAAGCUUUUUCUUCUCUGCCCCAGUUUUCAUCACAAAACCUUUGGCCCCUCUUGCUUUUGUAAGAUCUUUCCUCCCUGUCUGCCACGUGAACUGUGGGAAGUCUUUCCCAAGUGCAUUUAAGCCCUUCCCAUCAAUCCAUCCAAAAAGUUGCUUUAGGUUCAGUGUCCCUCAAUUCAAACACUCCCUUCUGCUCCUGUGGGUUUUAACUCAGAAAUAUUAAUAUCACCUGAAUUGCCUGGCCUUGAAAGGUCAUCUUCAAAAAGUGUAGCAACACUCUUCUUGACCACUGCUCUGUGUUGGCAGAAUGGAAAGAAAAUGAAACUGCAGAUGACUUUGCACCUGAUUUCCUUACUUUUAAAAGCAUUUCUUGAUCAUUUUGAUUUCUUAAAAAUAUUUAAAGAAACUUGUAUGACUUAGGUCACAGAUAAUCCUUUACUAAUACAAUGUCUUAGUAUUGUAAAGGUACAGUAACUGUAGGGUACUGUAUGUGCUAUAUAUUUUCAAUAGUUGUGUAUUCUACCUGUAAUAAGAUUUCACUGCUUUGCUCUUCGAAGUUAUAGGACCUACUACUUUGAUACAGGACUGCCUUUUAGUUUGUGGAUCAUAAAGUCAGUCACGGUAUAUAUGCAAAUGAAGUUUUGAGGGAUGAGGGCAAAGAUGAGUGUUAGGGAAGGAGUUUAGGCUUCCUUCAGAAACUUUGCAGCUCAUGGCUGAACCAAAAUUUGUGUAGGCGUAGCUGGGAAAAUGGGCUGAGCAGGCUGUUAAAGAAGCAUAAAUGCCUCCGAAAUUGACUUACGGAUGGCUACCUGAGGUGUCAGCGCCACAUGAUGCUAUAUUAUAGUCAUUUUAAUGUUUUACUCUGUCCAUUUAUGCCUUUGGUCCCAUUCCCAGAAUGGCUGAGUCACCUUUAUAAACUCAUGGCAAAGAAACACAGUGACGGGGAAGGGAGCAGGACUAUAAUGUUUGAAUUCUGAGCUAUAUCUGCUCAAAGUACAUCUCAACUAUUCCCAGAAAUGCUGGAGAAAACUCUGAUCUCUUUCACUUAGCACUCCCAGACGCCCAGCAAAUCGGUCCAUGUACCACCCUCCAGAGGAUAAAUCCAGCAUCUCCAAACUCUCAGAGGCCCCACGUUUCAGCUGCAGAAGCUGUUAUGAGUAUGUGUUUAGGGAUAAGCAAACAGCAGCAUGACAGACAGCACUCAUGACUCAACCUUGAUAAUAGGCAAACCAAAUAGUCAAAUAAUUCACUGUAAUUCAGCCUAGCAAUUCAAAAUACCACACACUCCUGAUUCUCUGGCAAGCUAACUCAUGUAUGGUAUGAUAUAUUUUUUCAGCAGUUUCAAACUGCCAAAAAUGUGGUAUUAUUUCUCAAACAGGAAACAAAUUAAUGAAGGAUAUGAGAGGUAAAUGAAAACAUGUCACAGAAUGAAAACAUAGUUCAGAAGCUCUUAAUAAAUUAAAAGUUACAAAAAGCAAUUUACAGAGUGUUUUAUGUAUGUCACUACGAUGAGGUUUUAUUGGUGUGAUAUCAUAAUUUGGCUGUCUCUGGUCCCUUUCUCUUGGCAGCUCUAGCUCUAAAGACAUUAUUCGCUUGACAUGCCAGCUCAGGAAGCUGAAUGCCAGAGGUCUGCUUUAUUUGGGCAGUAAUCAACAGGACUUGUAGGUUUACCUAAGGACUUCUACAUCAGUUCUCCAUGUACUGCAUCUUGGGGUCUUUCUUGUUUGACUUUAGUAAUUGCUUUUUUGUGCAAAGAAACUGACUAAAGUCAUCAGGAUUCACUGCUGAAAUUGCAUGGUUUUCAGUUGUUUUCCAAAUUUCCCACAGAAUUAUCUGUGUUUACAAAUGUAUCCAGAUUUUACUUUGAACUUCCUUCCUUCCUCCUGCCCUUAAAGAUAAAUGAAUUCCUAAACAUGUUUGUACUUGCAAAUUCAUAGAUUUAUACACUUCAUGCCACUUUAAUCCCUAUUAAACUAAUCUGAAGUCAUGUCAGGCCAACUAUCCACAGUAAAAUGGAUUAGACAAGCCAGUUGAUCAAAGAUAGAAAUGACUCUGGAUUCUUUUUCUGUCUAGCCUCUGUGCAUUUAGUGCACUAUUUUCAUACAAAUAAUUUUGUUCUCUUUAAUUCUUUUGUGAUUAAGCUAAUUCAAAAAUAACAUUGGUUCUUAGAGAAUCAUUAGUGUGAAGCAGAACAGACAAUGCUUUUAAUUAGGGCUUUUUGUACCUCCUCUAUCCAUUUAGUAAUAAAAUUACUUCUGUAUUAAUUGAUUAGCUAUUUUAAUUUACACAGCAAUAAGUGCUGAUAUACAGUGGCCAUGAAACAGCUUUGUUAAGUAAUUUUUGAAGUACAGCUGAUAUUUGUUUCCUGGAGAAGUGAAAGAUGUUUUGUUUAAAAGCUUUGUGAUGCAUGUGCUGUAGCUUCUGACAGUCCUUCUCAGCAGAAUGCAAUAGACCUCUCACUGAAUUUUAAGGAACUUAGUAUGCACUAUUUCAGCUUUAUUUUUAUUUCUACUAGAGACUCUCGUGUUGCUAAAGGAAUACGUAGGUUCUUUGGAUGUCUGCAAAUUAUGUAAAAGACCUCUAUAUAUAAAGGAAGUCUUAGACUAGAAAAGAAUGCUUAACUACUGAAUUCUAGGAGGAGCACUGUGUUUUUGAUUUUAUUUAUAAUUCUGUUAAUAUUUGACACAAAAAAACAAAUUAACAUACUUUCCCUUAUGAAAGGGAAUAGUCAUUAAAAAUGGCUGUUGGGAACUAAUUCUUCAUGCAUUUUUUAAAAUGGAACAAAUUGCUGUUUGGAAUAAUGGAUUAACAUAAUUAGAUCACUCACAAGCUCUGUUCAGUUGGCCACAUUAACAGAAAUAUAUGAUAAGACUACUUCUAUAGUGCUGCUUUCCACAUUUUGUUUUAAGAACAAUGGCUUGGCUUCUCAGCUGAUCUAAAUUCUUCACACUGAAGGAUGGAAAUGCAAUGAGGGUGUAUGUUUCUUAAUUAUAAAUUACCUCACUCAAAUGACCUUAUACUGUUUGACUGUCAUAAGAAAAUGUCUGUGCAAAUACUAAUCAUAACUAUUUCCCCUGCCUUUCCUCCACAGAAGGAAAUUUCUAGGCCACCUCAACACAUUCACAUGACAUGGCAGCUGGCUGACCCAGUCUUACCUACCCUAACCCACUCUACCCAUUCUCAAGCACUUACUCCCUACUGCAGGAAUGAGACUUUCACUCUCAUCCUGUUCCCUCCAUUAUGUCAUGCCAUAGUUGGAACAACAGCAGACAAUACUUUGUCGUUCUCCUCAUCAAUUGAAAGGUUUUGCACAUGGUUUGGAUCUGCAUAAAAUUCUCUGAUCCUUAUACAUGCGAGUGAGAAUGGAAAAGGAAAGAAUUCAAUAGUUUUUUUUUCUAUAGUUGUUGGUAUACCCUUCAAUGCAGUUUUUUCAGGCCAUGCUUUGGAUUAAGAAGAGAACAGCUAAAUGAAAGGGAAAAUGAAAAUAAACUCUCCCAAUGGAAGUUUGAAGCAAAGUGUCUGAUAUCCAGAGAAGACCAAUUUUGAGCUCAGAGCUGCAGCUCAUGCUAAGCAGGUUUGCUGCACUUGCUCAUUCCUGUUUGUAUCAGCUGUCUUUUCUGAAUCUGACAGCAACACACUGGUAGAAGCAGCUAAGAAAAAGCAAGGAUUAGUAAAGUAAUCUCUAGUGGUAUCCUCCAUUCUGCUCUAAAACUUGGGGGAAGGGGAGAAUAGUUAGUGUUCAGAGGAAAGAAUAUUUGCUCUUGUACAACUGUGUUUUCCCUCCCUUAUUCAUGGAUGAAGCUUCAAUCAUUCAAAAACCUCUAAAUGCAAAUAUAUGUUUCUAGUUGAGUUUACUCAAUGUGUUCGUUUAUCAGGAAGAAGACAGAAGAAAACAUCUCCUUUACCCCAUAUUAAAAAAAAAAAAAUUGAGGCAAUUACUUUUGUGUUCCAGCACUUUGCCACAGAAAAAUCAUCAAAUUGAUGCAUCCUGCUGAUUGAAUGGGGACCAAAUACUUUGGGAAGAAAAAGGAAAAACAAAAAACAACAUGCAAUCAUGUGGUCAGAUACUGCAUAAUUGGCGUGUUUUGCAGCUCUAGAAUAUUUGAUUUUUUUUUUUGAGGAUUUAUCAGUCUCUUAAGAUAGUUUUUUUUUUUUUUACAUGCUGUAUUUAUAACUCUGGCUUGUGCAUCAUCUUUGUUUCCCCUACCUUUUGUCUGUCUUAGCUGUUGCUUUACAUCUACCUUAAGACUGAAAGCUCUUAGGGCAGAAAAAUUACCUUCCUGUAAGUCUGGGAAGCAACUAGCAUUUGACAAUAUCAUAACUGUUGUAAUAGUGAUUAUCUGAGGUUACCAUUUUAAAAAUACAAAAGGUCAAUGCUUAAAAAGGCAGGGCUUAAGAGCAGCGUACAUUCUUAAGGAAAACUCUAUUUUGGUGUUAAGCAUCUCAGCAUUUAUAAGGAUGAAAAAGAUUUCUCCCUGAAUGUGUUUAAAAAUGGUUUGGAUGUGGUGCUCAUGAACAUGAUUCAGCAGUGGGUUGUUAGGGUAGUUUGGUUAGGUUGCAGUUGGAGUUGAUGUUCUUCAAGGUCUUUUCCAACCUGAGCAACUCUAUGAUUCUAUUAUUUCAAAAAGCUGAUCUUACAUCUGAGUAAUUGCUAGCUAAUUUACAGUUUUUCUGUAUUUGGCAAGAGAAAAUGCAGGGAAAAAAAGUUCCUUCCACUUCACUGGGUAUUGCUGGUGUAACUUGUCCUACAGAAGUCAGCAUGGUGGUAGAAAAGCUCUCAAAGAAAGGGAAGAAUCAGAUCAAACUUUUCUGGAGUAUGUGACUAUUUCAAACCUAUUGCAUCUGAAAAUACUGUGUUAAGAAUGCAUCAAGCAAUAAAACAUAUCUGGCAAAAGGUUUCUAAUUACUGUCAAGGUGAGCUUCCCACUGAGUCUUCAUCAAAGUUUUAACCCAAACAAUGAUAAUCAACAGAGAUGGUGACAAAUGGAAAGGAAGUGAGGAAGAAUAGUGACAUUUGGUGCUGAACCAUAUGUGCGUGGUUUGAAAGACAUGACUGAAUUGUUUUUGGUGCUCUAUUAUUCUGACAUUUAGAAUGAGGCAAGUUUCCAUUUCCAUUAAUGUACUGCCAACUCAAAGGGGAACUGUCGCAAAUUUGAGACUAAAGAAAGCUGUUCCUCAAACUUCUCUUGAGCAUAAUCAAUGCCCUUGCUAAGCAACAGUGUAGUACCACGAUGUAUAAUCUAAAGUAUUCUUACAGUUUCUGCUUCUUGAAUACAAGAAUGUGUUUUAUAGCCCAUGAUGAUUUGGCAUCACUUGCUUUGAUAAAAGAUCAUGGAUUUAUCUAUGAAUGAAGAGCAACCAGUGAGAAGGAUCUCUGUUCAUCAAGAUUUUUCUGAAUGCUAACCUGGCAAGUACAGCCACUGAGAAAGUGACCCAGCUUUAGCUGGAGGACUUUCAGAGGAAAGAACCUGAUAGCUUGGUAUCCUUUUAAAUUGUAACAAAACCCCAGAUUUGUUUGAAGAAAUAGUGGAAUGACCUUCAACUUCCUUUAUCAUGUUUAAGGUCCAUAGAUAUCUUUACCAAAAGAGGGGGAAGGAAAAACAAAACAAAACACAAAACAACAACAACAAAAAAAAAAAAACAAGGAGGAAGCAGAAGGUAGCACAAGGUGACUUGGAAAUAAGGAUCCUGCAAAGAAGCUCUAGGCUCCAUCCUUCUCUUCAGCUUCUGGGUGCUGAAAUUUCCAUUAACUGUUCAGUAGCUUUACAAACAACCUGAAUUUAAGGGUUUCUCCUGACUUUGUGCAGCAGUAGAUGAGGAGUUCUGGAGAUGACAGUGAUUAAAACUGAAGGAAUGAUUAUUCAAAAUCAAAAUUAUCAGCAUGUGCUUUCUUUACUAAUUAACAUUUCCUCCAUGUGACUGUGUCUCUCUAAAGGUUUGGUCAUUGGCUCAACUUAAUUCUCCCAGCAGGCAGUGAUUGUUCUUCAGUAACAGAAGAAAUCAGUCAUACUAGCUGCCAUAUUGACUUCAUGAUAUUAUUCUGUGUGUGUGUGUGUAAGAAAACUUCCAGGUAAUAAACUGCAUUUUUUUUACUUAAUUCCUUUUCCGUAGUAGACUUGGAGCCCAACUUUCGCCAUUUCGCCCUCACUCAGUGGAAGAAUGAACUCAGCUGAUCUUCAGAAUAGUGCUGUGCUCCAAAUCACAGCCCUGAGCUGAUCCUGCUCUCCAGCUCCUCCUGAUGCUCAUUCCUGGAGCACUCUACAGCCAGCCAGAAGUCCAUUUCCCUGCAUGAUUCACAAAUUCCUUUGAGACCAUGCAGGACUUUGAUACCAUCAUUCAUUUUUUUUUUCUUUUUAGUUUGAUAAAGAAUGAGGAAGUUGCUCCAAUGUCACUUUUGCACCCCUUUUUGUGGUAUUUGUCCAUUCUGCUGGCAGAAAGCAGAUUGAGCAAAUAUGCAUGUCAAGAUAUUACAGGUAGACCUUGACUUCAUAGAAAUGAAUUGAUUGAUAGAAAAAUUGGCAAAACUGGCAGUCAUGGCAUCAGAAUCCUCUCAUGGAGAAAGUGAUAUAAAGGUUAAAUAUCCUGUAAUAAUGAAGUGUAUACUCCUUCAAAACAUCCUUCUAUUUGAUCUCAAAAAUUGGACCUUUGGUGAAAAUACAAGCCAUGAAAUGAAUGAAGGUGAAGAAUAACCAGCAGAAAUACCAAGGGAGAGGCACAAUUUCAGUAUAAAUCACAGAAUUUACCUUGGAAAGGAUGCAAGCACAAUCCCUAGAAGUAGUGCAGAUUUGUGAACUCAACAUUGAAUUCACCUCCCUUUAAACUCUAGGUGAGUUGGGAAUAUGAAUAACACAAUGUCAUGUGAGAUGGGGAAGUAAAUGAAACCUGGAAAGCAGCCAAGUGGGGAAAAAAAAUAAAAGAACAAAGAAAAGGAGAAAGUUUACUGCUCUGUUUGCAAUGGCUGUUGACAAAAAUGCUACCUCGAAUA